Molecule: ribosomal RNA, 2901 nt
Filed under: Escherichia coli
Lineage: Bacteria; Pseudomonadati; Pseudomonadota; Gammaproteobacteria; Enterobacterales; Enterobacteriaceae
Description: 23S ribosomal RNA
Rfam family: Bacterial large subunit ribosomal RNA
Source: RNAcentral
UUAAGCGACUAAGCGUACACGGUGGAUGCCCUGGCAGUCAGAGGCGAUGAAGGACGUGCUAAUCUGCGAUAAGCGUCGGUGAGGUGAUAUGAACCGUUAUAACCGGCGAUUUCCGAAUGGGGAAACCCAGUGUGUUUCGACACACUAUCAUUAACUGAAUCCAUAGGUUAAUGAGGCGAACCGGGGGAACUGAAACAUCUAAGUACCCCGAGGAAAAGAAAUCAACCGAGAUUCCCCCAGUAGCGGCGAGCGAACGGGGAGCAGCCCAGAGCCUGAAUCAGUGUGUGUGUUAGUGGAAGCGUCUGGAAAGGCGCGCGAUACAGGGUGACAGCCCCGUACACAAAAAUGCACAUGCUGUGAGCUCGAUGAGUAGGGCGGGACACGUGGUAUCCUGUCUGAAUAUGGGGGGACCAUCCUCCAAGGCUAAAUACUCCUGACUGACCGAUAGUGAACCAGUACCGUGAGGGAAAGGCGAAAAGAACCCCGGCGAGGGGAGUGAAAAAGAACCUGAAACCGUGUACGUACAAGCAGUGGGAGCCUCUUAAUGGGGUGACUGCGUACCUUUUGUAUAAUGGGUCAGCGACUUAUAUUCUGUAGCAAGGUUAACCGAAUAGGGGAGCCGAAGGGAAACCGAGUCUUAACUGGGCGUUAAGUUGCAGGGUAUAGACCCGAAACCCGGUGAUCUAGCCAUGGGCAGGUUGAAGGUUGGGUAACACUAACUGGAGGACCGAACCGACUAAUGUUGAAAAAUUAGCGGAUGACUUGUGGCUGGGGGUGAAAGGCCAAUCAAACCGGGAGAUAGCUGGUUCUCCCCGAAAGCUAUUUAGGUAGCGCCUCGUGAAUUCAUCUCCGGGGGUAGAGCACUGUUUCGGCAAGGGGGUCAUCCCGACUUACCAACCCGAUGCAAACUGCGAAUACCGGAGAAUGUUAUCACGGGAGACACACGGCGGGUGCUAACGUCCGUCGUGAAGAGGGAAACAACCCAGACCGCCAGCUAAGGUCCCAAAGUCAUGGUUAAGUGGGAAACGAUGUGGGAAGGCCCAGACAGCCAGGAUGUUGGCUUAGAAGCAGCCAUCAUUUAAAGAAAGCGUAAUAGCUCACUGGUCGAGUCGGCCUGCGCGGAAGAUGUAACGGGGCUAAACCAUGCACCGAAGCUGCGGCAGCGACACUAUGUGUUGUUGGGUAGGGGAGCGUUCUGUAAGCCUGUGAAGGUGUACUGUGAGGUAUGCUGGAGGUAUCAGAAGUGCGAAUGCUGACAUAAGUAACGAUAAAGCGGGUGAAAAGCCCGCUCGCCGGAAGACCAAGGGUUCCUGUCCAACGUUAAUCGGGGCAGGGUGAGUCGACCCCUAAGGCGAGGCCGAAAGGCGUAGUCGAUGGGAAACAGGUUAAUAUUCCUGUACUUGGUGUUACUGCGAAGGGGGGACGGAGAAGGCUAUGUUGGCCGGGCGACGGUUGUCCCGGUUUAAGCGUGUAGGCUGGUUUUCCAGGCAAAUCCGGAAAAUCAAGGCUGAGGCGUGAUGACGAGGCACUACGGUGCUGAAGCAACAAAUGCCCUGCUUCCAGGAAAAGCCUCUAAGCAUCAGGUAACAUCAAAUCGUACCCCAAACCGACACAGGUGGUCAGGUAGAGAAUACCAAGGCGCUUGAGAGAACUCGGGUGAAGGAACUAGGCAAAAUGGUGCCGUAACUUCGGGAGAAGGCACGCUGAUAUGUAGGUGAAGUCCCUCGCGGAUGGAGCUGAAAUCAGUCGAAGAUACCAGCUGGCUGCAACUGUUUAUUAAAAACACAGCACUGUGCAAACACGAAAGUGGACGUAUACGGUGUGACGCCUGCCCGGUGCCGGAAGGUUAAUUGAUGGGGUUAGCGGUAACGCGAAGCUCUUGAUCGAAGCCCCGGUAAACGGCGGCCGUAACUAUAACGGUCCUAAGGUAGCGAAAUUCCUUGUCGGGUAAGUUCCGACCUGCACGAAUGGCGUAAUGAUGGCCAGGCUGUCUCCACCCGAGACUCAGUGAAAUUGAACUCGCUGUGAAGAUGCAGUGUACCCGCGGCAAGACGGAAAGACCCCGUGAACCUUUACUAUAGCUUGACACUGAACAUUGAGCCUUGAUGUGUAGGAUAGGUGGGAGGCUUUGAAGUGUGGACGCCAGUCUGCAUGGAGCCGGCCUUGAAAUACCACCCUUUAAUGUUUGAUGUUCUAACGUUGGCCCCUGACCGGGGUUGCGGACAGUGUCUGGUGGGUAGUUUGACUGGGGCGGUCUCCUCCUAAAGAGUAACGGAGGAGCACGAAGGUUGGCUAAUCCUGGUCGGACAUCAGGAGGUUAGUGCAAUGGCAUAAGCCAGCUUGACUGCGAGCGUGACGGCGCGAGCAGGUGCGAAAGCAGGUCAUAGUGAUCCGGUGGUUCUGAAUGGAAGGGCCAUCGCUCAACGGAUAAAAGGUACUCCGGGGAUAACAGGCUGAUACCGCCCAAGAGUUCAUAUCGACGGCGGUGUUUGGCACCUCGAUGUCGGCUCAUCACAUCCUGGGGCUGAAGUAGGUCCCAAGGGUAUGGCUGUUCGCCAUUUAAAGUGGUACGCGAGCUGGGUUUAGAACGUCGUGAGACAGUUCGGUCCCUAUCUGCCGUGGGCGCUGGAGAACUGAGGGGGGCUGCUCCUAGUACGAGAGGACCGGAGUGGACGCAUCACUGGUGUUCGGGUUGUCAUGCCAAUGGCACUGCCCGGUAGCUAAAUGCGGAAGAGAUAAGUGCUGAAAGCAUCUAAGCACGAAACUUGCCCCGAGAUGAGUUCUCCCUGACUCCUUGAGAGUCCUGAAGGAACGUUGAAGACGACGACGUUGAUAGGCCGGGUGUGUAAGCGCAGCGAUGCGUUGAGCUAACCGGUACUAAUGAACCGUGAGGCUUAACCU